UGGGGAAUAUUGCACAAUGGGGGAAACCCUGAUGCAGCAACGCCGCGUGGAGGAUGACGCAUUUCGGUGUGUAAACUCCUUUUAUAAGGGAAGAUAAUGACGGUACCUUAUGAAUAAGCACCGGCUAACUCCGUGCCAGCAGCCGCGGUAAUACGGAGGGUGCAAGCGUUACUCGGAAUCACUGGGCGUAAAGGAUGCGUAGGCUGUAAUAUAAGUCAGAAGUGAAAUCCAACGGCUUAACCGUUGAACUGCUUUUGAAACUGUUUUACUAGAAUAUGGGAGAGGUAGAUGGAAUUGGUGGUGUAGGGGUAAAAUCCGUAGAUAUCACCAGGAAUACCGAUUGCGAAGGCGAUCUACUGGAACAUUAUUGACGCUGAGGCAUGAAAGCGUGGGGAGCAAACAGG
Molecule: ribosomal RNA, 404 nt
Filed under: uncultured prokaryote
Also listed under: 1 other name
Description: bacterial SSU rRNA
Rfam family: Bacterial small subunit ribosomal RNA
Source: RNAcentral